GCCCAAUGAUGAAACCAAGGCGAAUAUGAGCUGACUGAACAGCAGCUGGGUUCUUUUUGCCUCAAAUGACGGGUAAUCUUGGCAGUGUAAGGGAGAAUUCUUGCUCUGCUGUAAGGGCCCGCCUACAGUAACCUGGCUGCACCAUCAUUUCUCCUUUGGAAGUUUCAUUGGAGUAAUCAUGUGGAUGAAGCCCAUAGUGUGCGUGCGUGCGUGCGUGCGUGCGUGCGUACGUGCGUGCAUGUGUGAGUGUGCAUGUGGAGAGGCCUAAAGUUCACCCAACUGUUUCCACUGUUCAGUUAGCAAUGAGUUGCUUCUUUGGUAAUCUGAGGGCC
Small nucleolar RNA from Syngnathoides biaculeatus (alligator pipefish), 332 nucleotides. NCBI's taxonomy places the organism in Eukaryota, Metazoa, Chordata, Actinopteri, Syngnathiformes, Syngnathidae. The record is from RefSeq and is a predicted model, not a curated record.